AUUGAACGCUGGCGGCAGGCCUAACACAUGCAAGUCGAGCGGAUGAAGGGAGCUUGCUCCUGGAUUCAGCGGCGGACGGGUGAGUAAUGCCUAGGAAUCUGCCUGGUAGUGGGGGAUAACGUCCGGAAACGGGCGCUAAUACCGCAUACGUCCUGAGGGAGAAAGGGGGGGAUCUUCGGACCUCACGCUAUCAGAUGAGCCUAGGUCGGAUUAGCUAGUUGGUGAGGUAAAGGCCUACCAAGGCGACGAUCCGUAACUGGUCUGAGAGGAUGAUCAGUCACACUGGAACUGAGACACGGUCCAGACUCCUACGGGAGGCAGCAGUGGGGAAUAUUGGACAAUGGGCGAAAGCCUGAUCCAGCCAUGCCGCGUGUGUGAAGAAGGUCUUCGGAUUGUAAAGCACUUUAAGUUGGGAGGAAGAGCAGUAAGUUAAUACCUUGCUGUUUUGACGUUACCAACAGAAUAAGCACCGGCUAACUUCGUG
This 484-nucleotide ribosomal RNA is filed under the name uncultured bacterium. RNAcentral's name for it is "partial 16S ribosomal RNA". It matches the Rfam family "Bacterial small subunit ribosomal RNA", at positions 30 to 507 of the family's 1533-position model. The record is from RNAcentral.